This 301-nucleotide ribosomal RNA is filed under the name uncultured bacterium. Its description in RNAcentral is "partial 16S ribosomal RNA". It matches the Rfam family "Bacterial small subunit ribosomal RNA", at positions 509 to 807 of the family's 1533-position model. The record is from RNAcentral.
CAGUAGCCGCGGUAAUACGAGGGGGGCAAGCGUUGUUCGGAAUUAUUGGGCGUAAAGGGUGCGUAGGCGGUUUGGCAAGUUUGGUGUGAAAUCUUCGGGCUCAACUCGAAGUCUGCAUCGAAAACUGCCGGGCUUGAGUAUGGGAGAGGUGAGUGGAAUUUCCGGUGUAGCGGUGAAAUGCGUAGAUAUCGGAAGGAACACCUGUGGCGAAAGCGGCUCACUGGACCAUAACUGACGCUGAUGCACGAAAGCUAGGGGAGCAAACAGGAUUAGAGACCCCCGUAGUCCCUGUCUCUUAUAC